Molecule: long non-coding RNA, 256 nt
Organism: Lingula anatina
Lineage: Eukaryota; Metazoa; Brachiopoda; Lingulata; Lingulida; Lingulidae
Source: RefSeq, a predicted model, not a curated record
GUGAAAUAUCAUGUCAGACGGCGGAAGAUGAGGAAGUGGAGGCGUCUUUAACGAUUUGUAAGCGCACAGACGAUAAGGCCACUUAAAAUGACUGAGCUAAGAGAAGAGGUCGGUUUUGACGACAUUAAACGACUGAUCGACCACAUGUCGAAGAACGUUUAUCGAGCAAAGGAUAAUGAUCCAAUGAACAAUAAUGCACUGGAUAAAUGUUUGCAGCUCUUUGGAAGAGACUACAAAUUCUCCGUGAUAAACAACA